Molecule: long non-coding RNA, 345 nt
Filed under: Trifolium pratense (red clover)
Lineage: Eukaryota; Viridiplantae; Streptophyta; Magnoliopsida; Fabales; Fabaceae
Description: long non-coding RNA (TPRA_LNC007998)
Source: RNAcentral
ACCAAUAGCAGCCUCUGCUGUCUCAGCCAGAUGCAAAACAGAACCUGCAUCAUCAAUAUUAUGUCGCAUUCCUCCUCUAGCGUGCACCUGCUUCCAUUGAAAUAAAAAGUCCCUUGCAAGUUGAAGCAAAAUCGAAGGUCGACACUCAACGUCCUACCAUAAUUUUUCAUUUCUUCUUUUCCAAAUACACCAAAGACCCAUCACAAAAUUUUAGUCAUCAUUUUAGUCCCUCCUAUUACGGAACUAAUAUGACUGAUUUUUAUAUACUAUAGAAACUAAAAUGAAUGAUUUUAAAUACUUUAGGUGCCAAAAUUAAUAGUUUAUUAUUCACAUUUAACAUAAAAC